GAUGCUGCCGUGGGCCAAGGCGAACCUGAACCCCACCGGCCAGGCGCUCAUCGUCUGCACCGUCGCCGGGAUGGCAUACUUCGUCGCCGCCGACAAGACCAUCCUGUCGUUGGCGAGGAGGCACUCGUACGAGAGCGCGCCCGACCACCUCAAGGACACCUCCUUCCAUGGCGCCGCCGCGGUUCGUCCGGCAUUCUUAAGGCCAUGAGCUAAUGCAUGCAUCGAUCGUCGUGAGUGUCCCAGAAACUGCUCCUGCAGGCAUGCAUAUCUACUAUCAUCAUGUUCAUCCGGGUAUGUUCUUUAGGCCAUGAAUAUCUACUAUCAUCAUGUUUUAUAUUCAUGACAAAUCCGGGAGUAGAUAUCCGGGUAUGUUCUUUAUGCACAUCGAUCAUACGAUACAAAUUGUUUGAAUUCAACAGUUCAAGACAAAUCAAAACAAAUGAUAAUUCAACAAUCCGGACAUGCCAACAUGGUCCGACGGUGCAAUUCGCGUCGACGGAAUGAUGGACGGGAUGCGGGGUUCCUGCCGCGGCGAAGGGAGGGGGAGGGGGGGAGCUGCUAUUUCAUAUUCGCAGCUCCCUACGAUGCCGCCGCCGCAUCUUCAGGGUGAUAUUCUCCGGCAUGCACGACGAAGUCGAGGAUCGGACAUCGACGAACGAGGCGGUCACAGCCUCCGACAAGGCGGUUGGGGAUGAACUGGACGUUAUCUACGACGAUGGAUAGAAGCCGGUGUUGAGGAUGGCAAGCAAGGGGGCGGGAUGGCGAGGGCUUGGGCACGGUAAUGGCAGUAGGGAGGCGGGGGAGGACGAAGGGUUUGGUACAUUUUGUGUAAAUUAUGAUGGGGUCGGGCUAUCGCGUCCGACAUGGCGGGCACGUACGUGAGUCCCCAUAUCCGCCCCAUAUUUGGGUUGUAUAUGAGGGGUGAGGAUCAGCCUCGGCGUUUGAGUCUCAGUUUAAGAAGUCCGGGUCGCUUUUCUGUGACUAGUCACUAACCGGGCGUUUGAGAGGGGGUUAAGAGGUCCGGCUGUAAGAGCAUCUACAAUCGGACCCCUCAAACCCCCGGGCAGUCCGCUCGAUCACUGCCCGAUCACAAAAUUGUGAUCCGGACGGGCCUCUCAAACCGACCUAAAACGUCCGGGCUGACUCUGACCUCCCAUUUUCAACCCAAAUAUGAGGCGGAUAUGGGGGAGCCCGGGCACGCCGAGGCACGCCUGCCAUGUCGUGCUCACGGCUUGGCCCCAGGCGGACUCGCCGGGAAACAUGACAGCCUGAGGGGCGCCUUGUCCGUCGGUGCAGUGUGAACGCCGCAUGGCGCCGCUCCGGGUCCCUGCCCGAGGUCGGGGCCGACUAUGAUGCAGGCGGAGCAGACAUUCCAAAUGCAGGCGGAGAUGAUUGCCGAGGCGGAAAAUGACAAGUUGGACGAGCAGGGAUGCAUGGAUGAAUUUGUUCACCUAAUGAUCAAAAAGGCAUCCCUUGUCGCUCGGACAUUAAUUUUAUUUUACCAUGUCCAGCUUGUCGAACUAUGAUUUCAUUUGAUUUUGUUUUAAAAUACGGUUUUGCUAAAACUCAUUCAGCUGAGAUUUUUUUUGGUCUCAUUCACUUUUUUAACCCUAGGAUUCAAUCACAUCCGGAUUUGAGUUUUGUAGAAGUGACGAGUCGCCUCGCGAUGAGGCUGCCCAUCUAUUCGCCUCGCCGCACCUUUUUCCCGUGAUGGGCUUUUGUCCGCUGGACUUGUGUGGGCUUAUGACAGUUAUGUUAGUUCUUUUUUCUCUUUAUACUAGGCCAUAGGGAACAAGCGACUUUUUUUUCCUGCAUUUUGGUUUUCUUUGUUGUUUCAUUUUUUAUCCAUUAUUCCUAUUUUACCUUUAUUUUUUCAAUAUUUAUCAUUUUCUACUUUGUUUUCAUUGUUUGGUUGGAAGAGAACAUUUAAAGAUUUUUUAAACUAAUUUCUACUAAGAUGAAAUUUGGUUAACUUUUUAAAUGUACUAGAAAAUAAUUUUUUUAUACUUGUAUUUUGUGUUCCCAGAUUUUCUUUCUCAUUAGGCAGUGCGAUCACAAAGAUAUUACAAUUGACAUCGAACGAGGAUUAUCGGGCUAGUUGUAUGUCUAACAUUAGACAUGCAACUUCAAACAUUUAUAACUCAGCCGCAAUUGCAUUGAGUGCAAGACACUGCAAUUGGGGUCGGGACGGGGUUUGUCGGACCAGUUGUAUGUCCAUUACUAGACAUGCAACUUCAAGCAUUGGAACCCGACUGCAAUUGCACUAGGUGCAAAGAGACUACAACUGGGGUCGGAACGGGGGUUGUCGGACCAGUUGUAUGUCCAUUACUAGACAUGCAACUUCAAGCAUUGGAACCCGACUGCAAUUGCACUAGGUGCAAAGAGACUACAACUGGGGUCGGAACGGGGGUUGUCGGACCAGUUGCAUGUCCACUACUAGACAUGCAACUUCAAGCAUUGAAACCCCGGCUGCAAUUGUACUGGGUGCAAAGAGACUGCAACUGGGUUCGGGACAGGGGUUAUCAGACCAGUUGCAUGUGCACCAGUAGACGUGCAACUUCAAGUAUUGAAACCCCACUGCAAUUGCACUGGAUGCAAAGAGACUGCAACUGGGUUAGGGGUGGGGGUUGUCAAACCAGUUGCAUGUGCAACGUUGAAACCCGGCUGCAAUUGCAUUGGAUGCAAAGAGAUUGCAAGUGGGUUCGGGAUGAGGGUUGUCGGACUAGUUGCAUGUGCAUCAGUAGACAUGCAAAUGCAAAAAAGAAAAAGACACAAGCAGCCGUGAACAUGAUGCAUCGUAUAUCCUAGUUGACAUGCGCAGAAGAUUUGCGUGUAAGCAUUUUCUUCCUUUUCCUCAAAUAUUCCAGCCAUGCAAAUGUAGAAAAAACAACAAGACACAGAGAAUUAUAUAGCUACGUAGUAAAAACAAGCCCAGCCGAGCCAACAUAACAUAUUAACACAAAAAAAUAGCACAAGAAAGAAAUAGUAAUAUAACAUAAAAAAAUGAAUGAGAUCAAAUUAUAUAUCAUCUAGAUGAGUUCUAGCCAAACCCUUUAAAAUAUUGAAAUUAAAUAAACUAUAUCAGAUGAUUGAUAUAUAUGAUUGAUUAUUGUGUAUGAGGAUACAAAUAUGUGACGCAAUAUGUAGAGGGCCGGCGAACGUUGUCCACGGCGCAUCGGCGGAUGUAUCGGGGACUGAAUUUACCAGUCCGGCUGUAGAUGCUCUCACAAAGAGAAGGGCUGGUCAGGCUGGGGCGCACAUGCCGCCGGUUUCCCCCGCAAACUGGAAGGUGCCGCUCGCCGAAACGAGUCACGACCACGAGUGAAACUGGCGGCACUUGCAGCCGCACAUGCUCUGUUUCGUUUCUCAUCCCACAGUUUUAUAUGUAUUGUGAUGAGAUCGGCACUGUGAUGUCUAACUUUAGAUCUUUAGUGUGUAAAGAAAGACGAGGGCGCAGUGGAGGAUACUACCAACAAACAUCAUCAAUCCUAUGGAUCCCUACCAUAGUUUUGGAUACAGUUCCGCACUCCAAGUCCAAACGAGUGAGCAGAGAGAGCACCCACGGUUUCCGCCCAAAACCGUGCGUGGCGGCCACCUUUUUGCUCGCUAUAAAUACAUGGCUAGCUCCUCGUCCUGGAGGCAUCAAGCAACAACAAGCCAGGCAGCGCAUCUCAUCUCACUCUAUCGCACUCCUUGUACUGAGCCGUUUCUGUACAAGAUCACGGCCAAGAUGUCGUCGACGGCCACCGUCACCGGCGCCAACCCCGAGAACAAGCUCGCCCUCGCCAAACGCUGCUCCAGAGGUAAUAAAUAACCAGGAUCCACAGCUGAAUCACGCUUUCCAAGUUGUUUACUGCUAGUCUGACAGUAGCAAUGCGUUUAUUUUGUCAAUCUUCCUCAGAGGCGACGCUCGCCGGAGCAAAGGCGGCGGCCCUCGCCACGGUCGCGUCUGCGGCGGCAACGGUGAGCUAGCUCCUUUGUCUAACAUGACUUGUUGAUUUUCGUUCACGUUGGACUCUGGUUUCCAUAACUGAACUACUAUUAAUCACGCAGCUGGCGAGCGUGAGGAUGCUGCCGUGGGCCAAGGCGAACCUGAACCCCACCGGCCAGGCGCUCAUCAUCUGCACCGUCGCCGGGAUGGCCUACUUCGUCGCCGCCGACAAGACCAUCCUCUCGCUGGCGAGGAGGCACUCGUACGAGAGCGCCCCCGACCACCUCAAGGACACCUCCUUCCAUGGCGCCGCCCCUCGUCCACGUCCACCGCCACCGGCGUUCUUCAGCCCAUGAGCUAGUGUUCCUGCUAAUGUAUGCAUCGUCGUCAGUGUCCCAAGAAACUGCUGCGGAAUGAAUAAUUGAAUAUCUGU
RNAcentral lists this long non-coding RNA (4364 nucleotides) under Hordeum vulgare. RNAcentral describes it as "long non-coding RNA (HVUL_LNC017619)". Lineage: Eukaryota; Viridiplantae; Streptophyta; Magnoliopsida; Poales; Poaceae. The record is from RNAcentral.